UGUAUACGCCGGCCAGCAUUGCUUGAAUAUCAUGAACAAACUUAUUUCCUGUUGCCAGCAUGAUUGCAAGCUUCUUUCGAGAAUUGUUCAGGGGCUUUUGGGGCAGCCCAUCAAUAUUGGUAGGAUUGAGUUAUUUGUUCCUCGCAUGACCACGUUGGCCCUCGCUUUUUUAACUUUUUUGCGUUUUUUUUUUGAAGAAGCAUGUAAGCACUACUUGGACAUUAUAAAAGACUUUUUUAGAGCUCUUCAAAGUGAGAAUGCAACUUGUCUAUCCGUUGCUCUUCAGUCCUUUCACUCCCUAUUGACCGGAACCCCUUUUGUUAAAUUUCAGAAAAUAAAUGAAACUAUGUUGAAGGACGUCGUCGCCAC
Long non-coding RNA from Zophobas morio, 369 nucleotides. RefSeq lists it as uncharacterized. The record is from RefSeq and is a predicted model, not a curated record. NCBI's taxonomy places the organism in Eukaryota, Metazoa, Arthropoda, Insecta, Coleoptera, Tenebrionidae. The transcript is spliced from 4 exons.